This 1068-nucleotide ribosomal RNA is filed under the name Ophiocordyceps clavata. RNAcentral describes it as "SSU rRNA". It matches the Rfam family "Eukaryotic small subunit ribosomal RNA", at positions 72 to 1116 of the family's 1831-position model. The record is from RNAcentral. Lineage: Eukaryota; Fungi; Ascomycota; Sordariomycetes; Hypocreales; Ophiocordycipitaceae.
CAUUGUACGGCGAACUGCGAAUGGCUCAUAUAUAAGUUAUCGUUUAUUUGAUAGCGCCUUACUACAUGGAUAACCGUGGUAAUUCUAGAGCUAAUACACGCUGAAAGCCCCGACUCCGGGAGGGGCGUGUUUAUUAGAUUAAAAGCCAAUGCCCCCCGGGCUCACUGGUGAUUCAUGAUAACCGCACGAAUCGCACGGCCCUGCGCCGGCAAUGGCUCAUUCAAAUUUCUUCCCUAUCAACUUUCGAUGUUUGGGUAGUGGCCAAACAUGGUUGCAACGGGUAACGGAGGGUUAGGGCUCGACCCCGGAGAAGGAGCCUGAGAAACGGCGACAACGUCCCAGGAAGGCAGCAGGCGCCCAAAUUACCCAAUCCCGACGCGGGGAGGUAGUGACAAUAAAUACUGAUACAGGGCUCUUUUGGGUCUUGUAAUUGGAAUGAGUACAAUUUAAAUCCCUUAACGAGGAACGAUUGGAGGGCAAGUCUGGGACCAACAGCAGGGGUAAUUCCGGCUCCGCUGGCGUAUAAAAUAGUUGUUGUGGUUAAAAAACUCGUAUUUGAACCUUGGGACUGGUUGGACGGUACCCUUCACCGCGUGCACUGGUUCGGCCUCGCCGCUUGCAAUGGUCAGGCCGGGCCCCUCCCCCCGCGGAACCCCAUGCCCUUCGCUGGGCGUGGCGGGGAAACGGGACGUUUACUUUGAAAAAAUUAGAGUGCUCCAGGCAGGCCUACGCUCGAAUACAUUAGCAUGGAAUAAUGAAAUAGGACGCGCGGUUCUAUUUUGUUGGUUUCUGGGACCGCCGUAAUGAUUAAUAGGGACAGUCGGGGGCAUCAGUAUUCGGUUGUCAGAGGUGAAAUUCUUGGAUCUACCGAAGACUAACUACUGCGAAAGCAUUUGCCAAGGAUGUUUUCAUUAAUCAGGAACGAAAGUUAGGGGAUCGAAGACGAUCAGAUACCGUCGUAGUCUUAACCAUAAACUAUGCCGACUAGGGAUCGGACGGUGUUAUUCUUUGACCCGUUCGGCACCUUACGAGAAAUCAAAGUGCUGGCUCCAGUUAGGAGUCUUGCCA